This 228-nucleotide ribosomal RNA is filed under the name uncultured bacterium. RNAcentral describes it as "partial 16S ribosomal RNA". It matches the Rfam family "Bacterial small subunit ribosomal RNA", at positions 568 to 796 of the family's 1533-position model. The record is from RNAcentral.
UACGUAGGCGGUUCUUUAAGUCAGAUGUGAAAGCCCGAGGCUCAACCUCGGGAUUGCAUUUGAAACUGAAGAACUAGAGUACAGGAGAGGUAAGUGGAAUUCCUAGUGUAGCGGUGAAAUGCGUAGAUAUUAGGAAGAACACCAGUGGCGAAGGCGACUUACUGGACUGUAACUGACGCUGAGGUACGAAAGCGUGGGGAGCGAACAGGAUUAGAUACCCUGGAGUCC